ACGGAGGGUGCAAGCGUUAAUCGGAAUUACUGGGCGUAAAGCGCACGCAGGCGGUGUGGUAAGUCGGAUGUGAAAGCCCCCGGCUCAACCUGGGAACUGCAUUUGAAACUGUCGGACUAGAGUCUUGUAGAGGGGGGUAGAAUUCCAGGUGUAGCGGUGAAAUGCGUAGAGAUCUGGAGGAAUACCGGUGGCGAAGGCGGCCCCCUGGACGAAGACUGACGCUCAGGUGCGAAAGCGUGGGGAGCAAACAG
RNAcentral lists this ribosomal RNA (251 nucleotides) under uncultured prokaryote. Its description in RNAcentral is "partial 16S rRNA". It matches the Rfam family "Bacterial small subunit ribosomal RNA", at positions 525 to 775 of the family's 1533-position model. The record is from RNAcentral.